GCUAGUGUGGCGCAGUGGUUUGAGUGUUGAGACUAUGACUCUGGGAGACCAGGGUUCGAAUCCUGACUUGGGCA
Non-coding RNA from Phrynosoma platyrhinos (Desert horned lizard), 74 nucleotides. NCBI's taxonomy places the organism in Eukaryota, Metazoa, Chordata, Lepidosauria, Squamata, Phrynosomatidae. The record is from the annotation of a GenBank genome assembly.